Molecule: ribosomal RNA, 643 nt
Filed under: uncultured Actinomycetes bacterium
Lineage: Bacteria; Bacillati; Actinomycetota; Actinomycetes
Description: bacterial SSU rRNA
Rfam family: Bacterial small subunit ribosomal RNA
Source: RNAcentral
CGCGGCCUAUCAGCUUGUUGGUGAGGUAACGGCUCACCAAGGCGACGACGGGUAACCGGCCUGAGAGGGUGACCGGUCACACUGGGACUGAGACACGGCCCAGACUCCUACGGGAGGCAGCAGUGGGGAAUAUUGCACAAUGGGCGCAAGCCUGAUGCAGCAACGCCGCGUGAGGGAUGACGGCCUUCGGGUUGUAAACCUCUUUUAGCAGGGAAGAAGCGAAAGUGACGGUACCUGCAGAAAAAGCACCGGUUAACUACGUGCCAGCAGCCGCGGUAAUACGUAGGGUGCAAGCGUUGUCCGGAAUUAUUGGGCGUAAAGAGCUCGUAGGCGGUUUGUCACGUCUGCUGUGAAAAUCCAAGGCUCAACCUUGGACUUGCAGUGGGUACGGGCAGGCUAGAGUGCGGUAGGGGAGAUGGGAAUUCCUGGUGUAGCGGUGGAAUGCGCAGAUAUCAGGAGGAACACCAAUGGCGAAGGCACAUCUCUGGGCCGUAACUGACGCUGAGGAGCGAAAGCGUGGGGAGCGAACAGGAUUAGAUACCCUGGUAGUCCACGCCGUAAACGGUGGGUGCUAGCUGUGGGCCACAUUCCACGUGGUCCGUGACGAAGUUAACACAUUAAGCACCCCGCCUGGGGAGUACGG